GUCCGCACGGUAAACGAUGGAUACCCGCGGUUUGCGAUAUACGGUAAGCCGCCAAGCGAAAGCGUUAAGUAUCCCACCUGGGGAGUACGCCGGCAACGGUGAAACUCAAAGGAAUUGACGGGGGCCCGCACAAGCGGAGGAACAUGUGGUUUAAUUCGAUGAUACGCGAGGAACCUUACCUGGGCUAGAAUGCCCUUGACACUUCCAGAGAUGGGAGGUUCCGCAAGGACAAGGAGCAAGGUGCUGCAUGGCUGUCGU
RNAcentral lists this ribosomal RNA (258 nucleotides) under uncultured bacterium. Its description in RNAcentral is "partial 16S ribosomal RNA". It matches the Rfam family "Bacterial small subunit ribosomal RNA", at positions 793 to 1055 of the family's 1533-position model. The record is from RNAcentral.